Oncorhynchus keta (chum salmon) is the source of this 820-nucleotide long non-coding RNA. RefSeq lists it as uncharacterized. The record is from RefSeq and is a predicted model, not a curated record. The transcript is spliced from 3 exons. Lineage: Eukaryota; Metazoa; Chordata; Actinopteri; Salmoniformes; Salmonidae.
GGGCACUAUGGAGCCUGGUCUAAGGUAGGGUACUAUGGAGCCUGGUCUAAGGUAGGGCACUAUGGAGCCUGGUCUAAGGUAGGGUACUAUGGAGCCUGGUCUAAGGUAGGGCACUAUGGAGCCUGGUCUAAGGUAGGGCACUAUGGAGCCUGGUCUAAGGUAGGGCACUAUGGAGCCUGGUCUAAGGUAGGGUACUAUGGAGCCUGGUCUAAGGUAGGGUACUAUGGAGCCUGGUCUAAGGUAGGGUACUAUGGAGCCUGGUCUAAGGUAGGGUACUAUGAAGGGAAUAGAUGAGGGUGUGUUUGUUCAUGUUAUUGAUCAUCAAGACAAGGAGGUUGAGAAAGAGACAUUAAGUUCAACACCACUGUUAAUGACCCAGAGUCGACCCGUUCUGUUGGGUCACUGUCUCCAGGGUUAAUGUUAGUACUGCCAUAGUGGUUCUGUUGGGUCACUGUCUCCAGGGUUAAUGUUAGUACUGCCAUAGUGGUUCUGUUGGGUUAAUGUUAGUACUGCCAUAGUGGUUCUGUUGGGUCACUGUCUCCAGGGUUAAUGUUAGUACUGCCAUAGUGGUUCUGUUGGGUUAAUGUUAGUACUGCCAUAGUGGUUCUGUUGGGUUAAUGUUAGUACUGCCAUAGUGGUUCUGUUGGGUCACUGUCUCCAGGGUUAAUGUUAGUACUGCCAUAGUGGUUCUGUUGGGUUAAUGUUAGUACUGCCAUAGUGGUUCUGUUGGGUCACUGUCUCCAGGGUUAAUGUUAGUACUGCCAUAGUGGUUCUGCUGGGUUAAUGUUAGUACUGCCAUAGUGGUUCUGUUGGGUCACUG